This 77-nucleotide transfer RNA is filed under the name Stenotrophomonas sp. SY1. Its description in RNAcentral is "tRNA-Met". It matches the Rfam family "tRNA". From Rfam's summary of the family: Transfer RNA (tRNA) molecules are approximately 80 nucleotides in length. Their secondary structure includes four short double-helical elements and three loops (D, anti-codon, and T loops). Further hydrogen bonds mediate the characteristic L-shaped molecular structure. tRNAs have two regions of fundamental functional importance: the anti-codon, which is responsible for specific mRNA codon recognition, and the 3' end, to which the tRNAs corresponding amino acid is attached (by aminoacyl-tRNA synthetases). tRNAs cope with the degeneracy of the genetic code in two manners: having more than one tRNA (with a specific anti-codon) for a particular amino acid; and 'wobble' base-pairing, i.e. permitting non-standard base-pairing at the 3rd anti-codon position. The record is from RNAcentral. RNAcentral also lists the same sequence under 1 other name. Lineage: Bacteria; Pseudomonadati; Pseudomonadota; Gammaproteobacteria; Lysobacterales; Lysobacteraceae.
AGCGGGGUAGAGCAGUCCGGCAGCUCGGCGGCCUCAUAAGCCGCAGGUCGCGCGUUCAAAUCGCGCUCCCGCUACCA